RNAcentral lists this ribosomal RNA (324 nucleotides) under uncultured eukaryote. RNAcentral's name for it is "partial 18S ribosomal RNA". It matches the Rfam family "Eukaryotic small subunit ribosomal RNA", at positions 1470 to 1796 of the family's 1831-position model. The record is from RNAcentral.
CCCUUAGAUGUUCUGGGCCGCACGCGCGUUACACUGACGGAGUCAACGAGUUGUCCUGCAUCGGAAGGUGUGGGUAAUCUUUUGAAACUUCGUCGUGCUGGGGAUAGAUCUUUGCAAUUUUCGAUCUUGAACGAGGAAUUCCUAGUAAGCGUGAUUCAUCAGAUCGCGUUGAUUACGUCCCUGCCCUUUGUACACACCGCCCGUCGCUACUACCGAUUGAAUGGUUUAGUGAGGCCUCGGGACUGGCGCGCUCGAGUAGCAAUACACCUGCGCGCCGGGAACUUGGUCAAACUUGAUCAUUUAGAGGAAGUAAAAGUCGUANCA